UACAGUACAAUAUACGCAUAAGGUUAGUAAAGUUUAAGGCGGUUAGCAAUCUCUUAUUUUGGAGAUGGUGCCUAUGAGUGUAAAAACUUGGCAACGCAUUUCUAAGAAAGGAUAUUGCAAAAUGUCUGUUUAUGAGGCACUAAGCUUAAUGAUUGCUUUUGCAACGUUAAUCGUGCUAGUGAACAAUAAUAA
This 192-nucleotide small RNA is filed under the name Enterococcus columbae DSM 7374 = ATCC 51263. RNAcentral describes it as "Listeria sRNA rli28". It matches the Rfam family "Listeria sRNA rli28". The record is from Rfam by way of RNAcentral. Lineage: Bacteria; Bacillati; Bacillota; Bacilli; Lactobacillales; Enterococcaceae.